GCCAGAGUGGUGGAAUUGGUAUACACGCUGGGUUUAGGUUCCAGUUCUUUUGGGAAUAGGGGUUCAACUCCCCUCUCUGGU
RNAcentral lists this transfer RNA (81 nucleotides) under Fucus vesiculosus. Its description in RNAcentral is "tRNA-Leu". It matches the Rfam family "tRNA". From Rfam's summary of the family: Transfer RNA (tRNA) molecules are approximately 80 nucleotides in length. Their secondary structure includes four short double-helical elements and three loops (D, anti-codon, and T loops). Lineage: Eukaryota; Phaeophyceae; Fucales; Fucaceae. The record is from RNAcentral.